This 803-nucleotide ribosomal RNA is filed under the name uncultured bacterium. RNAcentral describes it as "bacterial SSU rRNA". It matches the Rfam family "Bacterial small subunit ribosomal RNA", at positions 558 to 1358 of the family's 1533-position model. The record is from RNAcentral.
GCGUAAAGAGCUCGUAGGCGGUUUGUCGCGUCUGCUGUGAAAGCCCGGGGCUCAACCCCGGGUCUGCAGUGGGUACGGGCAGACUAGAGUGCAGUAGGGGAGACUGGAAUUCCUGGUGUAGCGGUGAAAUGCGCAGAUAUCAGGAGGAACACCGAUGGCGAAGGCAGGUCUCUGGGCUGUUACUGACGCUGAGGAGCGAAAGCAUGGGGAGCGAACAGGAUUAGAUACCCUGGUAGUCCAUGCCGUAAACGUUGGGCACUAGGUGUGGGGGACAUUCCACGUUUUCCGCGCCGUAGCUAACGCAUUAAGUGCCCCGCCUGGGGAGUACGGCCGCAAGGCUAAAACUCAAAGGAAUUGACGGGGGCCCGCACAAGCGGCGGAGCAUGCGGAUUAAUUCGAUGCAACGCGAAGAACCUUACCAAGGCUUGACAUUCACCGGACCGCCCCAGAGAUGGGGUUUCCCUUCGGGGCUGGUGGACAGGUGGUGCAUGGUUGUCGUCAGCUCGUGUCGUGAGAUGUUGGGUUAAGUCCCGCAACGAGCGCAACCCUCGUUCUAUGUUGCCAGCACGUGAUGGUGGGGACUCAUAGGAGACUGCCGGGGUCAACUCGGAGGAAGGUGGGGAUGACGUCAAAUCAUCAUGCCCCUUAUGUCUUGGGCUUCACGCAUGCUACAAUGGCCGGUACAAAGGGUUGCGAUACUGUGAGGUGGAGCUAAUCCCAAAAAGCCGGUCUCAGUUCGGAUUGAGGUCUGCAACUCGACCUCAUGAAGUCGGAGUCGCUAGUAAUCGCAGAUCAGCAACGCU